CCUACGGGGGGCAGCAGUGAGGAAUAUUGGUCAAUGGGCGCGAGCCUGAACCAGCCAAGUCGCGUGAAGGAUGAAUGCCCUACGGGUUGUAAACUUCUUUUAUCAAGGAAUAAAGUCAGGCACGUGUGCCUUUUUGUGUGUACUUUAUGAAUAAGCAUCGGCUAACUCCGUGCCAGCAGCCGCGGUAAUACGGAGGAUCCGAGCGUUAUCCGGAUUUAUUGGGUUUAAAGGGAGCGUAGAUGGGUUGUUAAGUCAGUUGUGAAAGUUUGCGGCUCAACCGUAAAAUUGCAAUUGAUACUGGCAGCCUUGAGUAGAGUAGAGGUAUGCGGAAUGCGUGGUGUAGCGGUGAAAUGCUUAGAUAUCACGAAGAACUCCGAUUGCGAAGGCAGCUUACUAAACUGCCACUGACAUUGAUGCUCGAAAGUGUGGGUAUCAAACAGGAUUAGAUACCCCGGUAGUC
RNAcentral lists this ribosomal RNA (460 nucleotides) under uncultured bacterium. RNAcentral's name for it is "partial 16S ribosomal RNA". It matches the Rfam family "Bacterial small subunit ribosomal RNA", at positions 338 to 795 of the family's 1533-position model. The record is from RNAcentral.